RNAcentral lists this RNase P RNA (328 nucleotides) under uncultured Alistipes sp. RNAcentral's name for it is "Bacterial RNase P class A". It matches the Rfam family "Bacterial RNase P class A", at positions 31 to 359 of the family's 367-position model. From Rfam's summary of the family: Ribonuclease P (RNase P) is a ubiquitous endoribonuclease, found in archaea, bacteria and eukarya as well as chloroplasts and mitochondria. Its best characterised activity is the generation of mature 5'-ends of tRNAs by cleaving the 5'-leader elements of precursor-tRNAs. Lineage: Bacteria; Pseudomonadati; Bacteroidota; Bacteroidia; Bacteroidales; Rikenellaceae. The record is from RNAcentral.
GGAGCGGGAGGGGAGGAAAGUCCGGGCAACACAGGGCGCCGCGCUUCCUAACGGGAAGAUCUUCGUGAGGGGAUAGCCGCGUAACAGAAAACAACCGCCGUUCCUCAGAACGGUAAGGGUGAAAAGGCGGGGUAAGAGCCCACCGCGACCAUGGUGACAUGUGCCGGCCGUACGUCUCGCGGGUUGCAAGACCAUGUAUACCGACAGUUUUAAGGACGGCCCGUCCGAUGUCGGGGGGUAGGUUGCUGAUGAGCCGGCGGGUGACCGUCGACCUAGAUAAAUGACAGAGGCCUCGAUUCGAGGUACAGAACCCGGCUUACACGCCCUG